CCUACGGGUGGCUGCAGUGAGGAAUAUUGGUCAAUGGACGCAAGUCUGAACCAGCCACGUCGCGUGCAGGAUGACUGCCCUAUGAGUUGUAAACCUCUUUUGUUCGAGGGUAAUCCCCGUUACGUGUAUCGGGAUGACAGUAUCGUAUGAAUAAGCAUCGGCUAACUCCGUGCCAGCAGCCGCGGUAAUACGGAGGAUGCGAGCGUUAUCCGGAUUUUUUGGGUUUAAAGGGUGCGUAGGCGGCUUGAUAAGGUAGGGGUUAAAUGUCGGGGGUCAACCCCGAAACUGCCACUAAAACUGGUGGGCUAGAGAACAGAUGAGGUAGGCGGAAUAAAUGAAGUAGCGGUGAAAUGCUUAGAGAUCAUACAGAACACCGAUUGCGAAGGCAGCUUACCAAGCUGAGUCUGACGUUGAAGCACGAGAGCGUGGGUAGCGAACAGGAUUAGAUACCCCUGUAGUC
Molecule: ribosomal RNA, 460 nt
Filed under: uncultured bacterium
Lineage: Bacteria
Description: partial 16S ribosomal RNA
Rfam family: Bacterial small subunit ribosomal RNA
Source: RNAcentral